UAGAGUUUGAUCCUGGCUCAGGACGAACGCUGGCGGCGUGCCUAACACAUGCAAGUCGAGCGGGAGACUUCGGUCUCUAGCGGCGGACGGGUGAGUAACACGUGGGUAACCUGCCUUGUAGAGGGGGAUAGCCUUCCGAAAGGAAGAUUAAUACCGCAUAACAUUAUGCUAUCGCAUGAUAGAAUAAUCAAAGGAGCAAUCCGCUACAAGAUGGACCCGCGGCGCAUUAGCUAGUUGGUGAGGUAACGGCUCACCAAGGCAACGAUGCGUAGCCGGCCUGAGAGGGUGAACGGCCACAUUGGAACUGAGACACGGUCCAGACUCCUACGGGAGGCAGCAGUGGGGAAUAUUGCACAAUGGGCGAAAGCCUGAUGCAGCAACGCCGCGUGAGUGAUGAAGGCCUUCGGGUUGUAAAGCUCUGUCUUCUGGGACGAUAAUGACGGUACCAGAGGAGGAAGCCACGGCUAAAUUCGUGCCAGCAGCCGCGGUAAUACA
This 495-nucleotide ribosomal RNA is filed under the name uncultured soil bacterium. RNAcentral describes it as "bacterial SSU rRNA". It matches the Rfam family "Bacterial small subunit ribosomal RNA", at positions 1 to 527 of the family's 1533-position model. The record is from RNAcentral.